GAGCUCAGUGGGCAGAGCAUCUGCUUAGCAUUCAGAAGGUCUUGGGUUCAACUCCUGGAAUCUCCA
Non-coding RNA from Podarcis lilfordi (Lilford's wall lizard), 66 nucleotides. Lineage: Eukaryota; Metazoa; Chordata; Lepidosauria; Squamata; Lacertidae. The record is from the annotation of a GenBank genome assembly.